UAAUUCCGGAUAACGCACAUAUGCUGGAAUGCUUUAUGCGUAAAAUGGAUUCGUCUGCCCAAGGAUGGAUCUGCGGCCUAUCAGGUAGUAGUGGGUGUAAUGUACCUACUAGCCAACAACGGGUACGGGUUGCGAGAGCAAGAGCCCGGAGAUGGAUUCUGAGACAUGAAUCCAGGCCCUACGGGGCGCAGCAGGCGCGAAAACUUUACAAUGCGGGAAACCGUGAUAAGGGGACACCGAGUGCCAGCAUCAUAUGCUGGCUGUCCGGGUGUGUAAAAUACACCCGUUAGCAAGGGCCGGGCAAGACCGGUGCCAGCCGCCGCGGUAACACCGGCGGCCCGAGUGGUGAUCGUGAUUAUUGGGUCUAAAGGGUCCGUAGCCGGUUUGGUCAGUCCUCCGGGAAAUCUGACGGCUCAACCGUUAGGCUUUCGGGGGAUACUGCCAGGCUUGGAACCGGGAGAGGUAAGAGGUACUACAGGGGUAGGAGUGAAAUCUUGUAAUCCCUGUGAGACCACCUGUGGCGAAGGCGUCUUACCAGAACGGGUUCGACGGUGAGGGACGAAAGCUGGGGGCACGAACCGGAUUAGAUACCCGGGUAGUCCCAGCCGUAAACGAUGCUCGCUAGGUGUCAGGCAUGGCGCGACCGUGUCUGGUGCCGCAGGGAAGCCGU
RNAcentral lists this ribosomal RNA (670 nucleotides) under uncultured archaeon. Its description in RNAcentral is "bacterial SSU rRNA". It matches the Rfam family "Archaeal small subunit ribosomal RNA", at positions 147 to 815 of the family's 1478-position model. The record is from RNAcentral.